This 666-nucleotide ribosomal RNA is filed under the name Paraburkholderia sp. RNAcentral describes it as "bacterial SSU rRNA". It matches the Rfam family "Bacterial small subunit ribosomal RNA", at positions 340 to 999 of the family's 1533-position model. The record is from RNAcentral. Lineage: Bacteria; Pseudomonadati; Pseudomonadota; Betaproteobacteria; Burkholderiales; Burkholderiaceae.
UACGGGAGGCAGCAGUGGGGAAUUUUGGACAAUGGGCGCAAGCCUGAUCCAGCAAUGCCGCGUGUGUGAAGAAGGCCUUCGGGUUGUAAAGCACUUUUGUCCGGAAAGAAAACCUCGUGGUUAAUACCCGUGGGGGAUGACGGUACCGGAAGAAUAAGCACCGGCUAACUACGUGCCAGCAGCCGCGGUAAUACGUAGGGUGCAAGCGUUAAUCGGAAUUACUGGGCGUAAAGCGUGCGCAGGCGGUUCGCUAAGACAGAUGUGAAAUCCCCGGGCUUAACCUGGGAACUGCAUUUGUGACUGGCGGGCUAGAGUAUGGCAGAGGGGGGUAGAAUUCCACGUGUAGCAGUGAAAUGCGUAGAGAUGUGGAGGAAUACCGAUGGCGAAGGCAGCCCCCUGGGCCAAUACUGACGCUCAUGCACGAAAGCGUGGGGAGCAAACAGGAUUAGAUACCCUGGUAGUCCACGCCCUAAACGAUGUCAACUAGUUGUCGGGUCUUCAUUGACUUGGUAACGUAGCUAACGCGUGAAGUUGACCGCCUGGGGAGUACGGUCGCAAGAUUAAAACUCAAAGGAAUUGACGGGGACCCGCACAAGCGGUGGAUGAUGUGGAUUAAUUCGAUGCAACGCGAAAAACCUUACCUACCCUUGACAUGUAUGGAACCCU